AGUGAAUAGAUACCCAGGUAGUCCCAGCUGUAAACGAUGCGCGUUAGGUGUAUCGGUGACCACGAGUCACCGAGGUGCCGAAGAGAAAUCGUGAAACGUGCCGCCUGGGUAGUACGGUCGCAAGGCUGAAACUUAAAGGAAUUGGCGGGGGAGCACCACAACAGGUGGAGCCUGCGGUUUAAUCGGACUCAACGCCGGGAAGCUCACCGGAUAAGACAGCUGAAUGAUAGCCGGGUUGAAGACUCUGCUUGACUAGCUGAGAGGAGGUGCAUGGCCGUCGUCAGUUCGUACUGUGAAGCAUCCUGUUAAGUCAGGCAACGAGCGAGACCCACGCCAACAGUUGCCAGCAUGUCCUCCGGGAUGGUGGGGACACUGUUGGGACCGCCUCUGCUAAAGAGGAGGAAGGAAUGGGCAACGGUAGGUCAGCAUGCCCCGAAUUAUCCGGGCUACACGCGGGCUACAAUGGUCAGGACAAUGGGUAUCAACACCGAAAGGUGAAGGCAAUCUCCUAAACCUGUCC
This 520-nucleotide ribosomal RNA is filed under the name uncultured bacterium. Its description in RNAcentral is "bacterial SSU rRNA". It matches the Rfam family "Archaeal small subunit ribosomal RNA", at positions 723 to 1243 of the family's 1478-position model. The record is from RNAcentral.